This 1911-nucleotide long non-coding RNA is filed under the name Homo sapiens (human). RNAcentral's name for it is "non-protein coding lnc-DUSP21-1:1". Lineage: Eukaryota; Metazoa; Chordata; Mammalia; Primates; Hominidae. The record is from RNAcentral.
GGUGGCACACGCCUGUAAUCGCAGCUACUCAGGGAGGCUGAGGCAGGAGAAUCACUUGAACCCAGGAGGCAGAGGUUGUGGUGUGCCAAGAUCACACCAUUGCACUCGGGAUUCUUGUGCCUCAUCCUUCCGAGUAGUUGGGAUUACAGGCACAUGCCACCAUGCCCAGCUAAUUUUUGUAUUUUUAGUAGGGAUAGGGUUUCACCAUGUUGGCCAGGCUGGUCUUGAACUCCUGACCUCAGGUGAUCUGCCUGCCUCAGCCUCCCAAAGUGCUGACAUUACGGGUGUGAGUCACUGCACCUGGCCAAUAAGUGAUAUAAAUUUAAAUUCUAACCACAUAUGAAGGCAGGCUAACAGCCAGCUCUAAAUUUUCAGGGAAGACUUUUUUCACCACUUAAAGGGGGAAUUGAGACAAACAAGACUUGUUUUCUCCCCUUGCUGCAAGCAGACUCUUUUUCUGGCCUACUAUUUCACUAGGCUGUAGUUCUUAGACAGUCCUGACUUCAUGUGAAGCUGCAGUUCCAACAACCCUCACCCCCUUGUGUGGGCCCAGAGCCCUGUGUGCUGUGCUGGAUCCCUGUACAGACACUGAAAAACAGAGUUCUGCAUUUCUUACAGCAGCAACUACAAGUGGUUUUGGAGCUUACCUAUCACUUUGGUUUCUAUUUUAUGUUCCUUUUUGGCUCCUGGAGAUUUGCUUUCUUGGAGUUGUAUUUUAUCCAUGAUUUCUAAGUGCCUUGUUAUGGAAAGGUUUAUUGCACUAUUCAAUCUUUCAUAUUAUUUGAAGUAGAAAACCCAAGGUCUUUUCAUCUUUACAACAACUGUACAAAUUAAGUACUAUUAUUCCCAUUUUAUUAUUGCAGAAAUUGAGGCUCAGGCAAGAUAAAGGUCACAUGGUUCCAUCAAGUAGUAGAGCCUGAAUGUGAACCCAGUACUAUCUGGCACCAAAAUUUAUGGUUUUUUAAACACUAAGCUAUAUUGUCUCUUACUAUACUCUGAUUUUUUUUGUGUAUUUUUUUCUUUUAGAAAAUGUUAAUUUUAUCUAUCAUCAGAAAAAAAUAAAAUAGCUUUUAAAGGUACUAUAAGUUGAAAAAUAUAUCCCUUGGUUAUAAAAUGUAUUUAUUUAUUAAACCUGAUAAGCUCUGCUAUCAAAGCCCUAUAGCUAGGUCAAGGUCAUCCAUUGUAUCUGUCAAGUACCAUGUGGGAUGAACAGAAUAUUUUCCUAUACAUAAAUAAUAAACAAUACCUGAGCCAAGGUAUUAUAUUUUCCUUUUUCCUCUACUUUGUUGUGUUUACCUUUUCCCUAUGAUCCUGUCAUUUUUCUCCACCACUCUCUCCCCAGGCUGCUACUAGCUCUAAAUAGUAGUAAUAAAUAUGAUUGGGUUCCUGCUACACUUUUGGCAAGCAGGAUAGUCUUCUUGGAUACAGUGGAUAUAGGCCUUAUCUGUCUGGGUUGUUGAGUAGAAAAGCAUGCUGGAGGACAUGUAAACCUUAAUGAAGUCUAAAUAGAUUACACCUAUUGCUUCUCCAGGAUCAGCAUGACAUGGCACUCAUAAUAGAAAACAGAGUAAGACUGGAACACUGGCUCACCAUGGGAUCAUAAUGCUAGCCACACACUAAUUUUUGCUUUAUUAAGUGCUGGAAAAUUUAUUGAUUCAUAAUUUGUUCUGAUGUUUUCCCAAGUAUCUAGAUAUCUAUAAUUACUUGAAUUAUUCUUUUUUUCUUUUUUAAUAUGCACACACAGACACACAUGGGCACGUACAAGCAAUUUGUCAUUUCCCAGGCUGUAGGGUUCCUCCUGGGCUCUCAAAAAUAAGCUCUGAAGUCUCUAAUGAAAUUCACCAAAGCCGCCGGGCACCGUGGCUCACGCCUGUAAUCCCAACACUUUGGGAGGCCGAGGCAGGUGGAUCA